UGCCAGCAGCCGCGGUAAUACGUAAGGUGCGGGCGUUGUUCGGAAUUAUUGGGCGUAAAGGGUGCGUAGGCGGCGCUAUAAGUCAGAGGUGAAAGGCCACAGCUUAACUGUGGGACUGCCUUUGAUACUGUAGUGCUUGAAUUAGGCUGAGGUCGGCGGAAUGUGACAUGUAGCGGUGAAAUGCUUAGAUAUGUCAUAGAACACCAAUUGCGAAGGCAGCUGACUAGACCUUAAUUGACGCUGAGGCACGAAAGCGUGGGGAGCGAACAGGAUUAGAUA
This 279-nucleotide ribosomal RNA is filed under the name uncultured bacterium. RNAcentral's name for it is "partial 16S ribosomal RNA". It matches the Rfam family "Bacterial small subunit ribosomal RNA", at positions 506 to 784 of the family's 1533-position model. The record is from RNAcentral.